This 344-nucleotide unclassified non-coding RNA is filed under the name soil metagenome. RNAcentral's name for it is "partial contains 5.8S ribosomal RNA, internal transcribed spacer 2, and large subunit ribosomal RNA". The stretch from base 2 to 120 matches the Rfam family "5.8S ribosomal RNA", at positions 36 to 154 of the family's 154-position model. The record is from RNAcentral.
UAUGAAGAACGCAGCGAAAUGCGAUAAGUAAUGUGAAUUGCAGAAUUCAGUGAAUCAUCGAAUCUUUGAACGCACAUUGCGCCCGCCAGUAUUCUGGCGGGCAUGCCUGUUCGAGCGUCAUUUCAACCCUCAGGGCCCUUUUGGACCUGGCGUUGGGGCUCGGCCGCUACCCUGCGGCCGUCCCCGAAAGAUAGUGGCGGUCUCGCUGUAGCCUCCUCUGCGUAGUAGUUACAUCUCGCACUGGAACGCGGCGCGGCCAUGCCGUUAAACACCCCACUUCUCAAGGUUGACCUCGGAUCAGGUAGGAAUACCCGCUGAACUUAAGCAUAUCAAUAAGCGGAGGA